RNAcentral lists this unclassified non-coding RNA (246 nucleotides) under Hevea brasiliensis (rubber tree). Lineage: Eukaryota; Viridiplantae; Streptophyta; Magnoliopsida; Malpighiales; Euphorbiaceae. The record is from RNAcentral.
GGUGAUCAUAACUGCAUUUCCUGGCUGUUGGGUGUGGCCAAAUCUCGUAAACUGGUUAUAAGCCAAUGCCAUGGAAACAGAUCCCCGCAUUAAACCAGCCCACCAUAUCGUAACCUGUUGUUUAAGACCAAACUUGUCAUGCUCAGAUCGCUUCAAGCAAUUGGAAAAAAGAGACAACGGGAACACAAAACAUGCCCUUCCAACCAGAACCAGACCAAGCAGUGCAGCGCUUACCCCAACAGAUUU